This 433-nucleotide ribosomal RNA is filed under the name uncultured bacterium. RNAcentral's name for it is "partial 16S ribosomal RNA". It matches the Rfam family "Bacterial small subunit ribosomal RNA", at positions 29 to 507 of the family's 1533-position model. The record is from RNAcentral.
AACGAACGCUGGCGGCAUGCCUAACACAUGCAAGUCGAACGAGACCUUCGGGUCUAGUGGCGCACGGGUGCGUAACGCGUGGGAACCUGCCCUUAGGUUCGGAAUAACUCCCCGAAAGGGGUGCUAAUACCGGAUAAUGUCUUCGGACCAAAGAUUUAUCGACUUUGGAUGGGCCCGCGUUGGAUUAGCCGGUUGGUAGGGUAAAAGCCUACCAAGGCGACGAUCCAUAGCUGGUCUGAGAGGAUGAGCAGCCACACUGGGACUGAGACACGGCCCAGACUCCUGCGGGAGGGAGGAGUGGGGAAUAUUGGAAAAUGGGCGAAAGGCUGAUCCAGCAAGGCCGGGUAAGUGAUGAAGGCCUUAGAGUUGUAAAGCUCUUUUACCCGGGAUGAUAAUGACAGUACCGGGAGAAUAAGCACCGGCUAACUCCGUG